GAUGAACGCUAGCGGCAGGCCUAACACAUGCAAGUCGAGGGAGGAGCUUUCGGGCUUCGACCGGCGUACGGGUGCGUAACGCGUAUACAAUCUGCCUUUCACAUAGGGAUAGCCCGAAGAAAUUUGGAUUAAUACCUAAUGGUAUAUAGGAGUGGCAUCACAUUUAUAUUAAAGCUGAGGCGGUGAAAGAUGAGUAUGCGUUCUAUUAGCUAGUUGGAGAGGUAACGGCUCCCCAAGGCGACGAUAGAUAGGGGUUCUGAGAGGGAUAUCCCCCACACUGGUACUAAGAUACGGACCAGACUCCUACGGGAGGCAGCAGUGAGGAAUAUUGGACAAUGGUCGGAAGACUGAUCCAGCCAUGCCGCGUGCAGGAAGACGGCCUUAUGGGUUGUAAACUGCUUUUGCAGGGGAAGAAUAAGGACUACGAGUAGUUUGAUGACGGUACUCUGCGAAUAAGCAUCGGCUAACUCCGUG
Molecule: ribosomal RNA, 474 nt
Filed under: uncultured bacterium
Lineage: Bacteria
Description: partial 16S ribosomal RNA
Rfam family: Bacterial small subunit ribosomal RNA
Source: RNAcentral